Molecule: regulatory RNA element, 62 nt
Rfam family: SAM riboswitch aptamer (S box leader)
About the family: The SAM riboswitch is found upstream of a number of genes which code for proteins involved in methionine or cysteine biosynthesis in Gram-positive bacteria.
Source: Rfam
GGCUCAUCCAGAGGGGCAGAGGGAACGGCCCAGUGAAGCCCCGGCAACCGAGCGGAUGAGCC